Megachile rotundata (alfalfa leafcutting bee) is the source of this 347-nucleotide long non-coding RNA. The record is from RefSeq and is a predicted model, not a curated record. NCBI's taxonomy places the organism in Eukaryota, Metazoa, Arthropoda, Insecta, Hymenoptera, Megachilidae.
CGAACGAGCUCCUGAGCACUUUCGGGUUCAGGAAGAACCUCUUCCGCUGGUUUGGCGGGGUGGGACAACCUGUGAGGGUAGUUUGUGGGUUGACAUACUUUGCGUCAUCAUCUGAAGCUUCUGCCGGCCUUGGGACUCGGGCAGUGCCGGUGGUUUGUUCUUCAGACCCUUGGCCAGCCCCGAAGAGGACACACUGUCAUCUCGCUGCUGCACAAAAUUACGCGUUUACGAGUGCUUGUAAACAUCGAGGCCUUAAAAAUUCGUCCAGGUGAAAGUUACAGCGCAAUAAAAAGAUAAACAAGCAUCGACAAUUAGGCACGAGUCGUAUGAAGUUGUUAUCAAACGAU